RNAcentral lists this ribosomal RNA (252 nucleotides) under uncultured bacterium. Its description in RNAcentral is "partial 16S ribosomal RNA". It matches the Rfam family "Bacterial small subunit ribosomal RNA", at positions 524 to 776 of the family's 1533-position model. The record is from RNAcentral.
GACGAACCGAGCGAACGUUAUUCGGAAUCACUGGGCUUAAAGGGCGCGUAGGCGGGCGAUCAAGUCAGGGGUGAAAGCCCCCAGCUCAACUGGGGAAGUGCCUCUGAUACUGGUCGCCUCGAGGGAGGUAGGGGCGUGCGGAACUUCCGGUGGAGCGGUGAAAUGCGUAGAUAUCGGAAGGAACGUCGGUGGCGAAAGCGGCGCACUGGACCAAAACUGACGCUGAGGCGCGAAAGCUAGGGAGCAAACAGG